RNAcentral lists this ribosomal RNA (495 nucleotides) under uncultured bacterium. Its description in RNAcentral is "partial 16S ribosomal RNA". It matches the Rfam family "Bacterial small subunit ribosomal RNA", at positions 28 to 507 of the family's 1533-position model. The record is from RNAcentral.
GACGAACGCUGGCGGCGUGCCUAAUACAUGCAAGUAGAACGCUGAAGGAGGAGCUUGCUCUUCUGGAUGAGUUGCGAACGGGUGAGUAACGCGUAGGUAACCUGCCUGGUAGCGGGGGAUAACUAUUGGAAACGAUAGCUAAUACCGCAUAAGAGUAGAUGUUGCAUGACAUUUGCUUAAAAGGUGCAAUUGCAUCACUACCAGAUGGACCUGCGUUGUAUUAGCUAGUUGGUGGGGUAACGGCUCACCAAGGCGACGAUACAUAGCCGACCUGAGAGGGGGAGCGGCCACACUGGGACUGAGACACGGCACAGACGCCUACGGGAGGCAGCAGUAGGGCAUCGUCGGCAAUGGGCGGAAGUCUGACCGAGCAACGCCGCGUGAGGGAAGAAGGUUUUCGGAUCGUAAAGCUCGGUUGUAAGAGAAGAACGAGUGUGAGAGUGGAAAGUUCACACUGUGACGGUAUCUGACCAGAAAGGGACGGCUAACUACGUG